GGGGGUGUAGCUCAGUUGGGAGAGCGCCUGCCUUGCACGCAGGAGGUCAGCGGUUCGAACCCGCCCACCUCCA
RNAcentral lists this transfer RNA (73 nucleotides) under Candidatus Schekmanbacteria bacterium RIFCSPLOWO2_02_FULL_38_14. RNAcentral describes it as "tRNA-Ala". It matches the Rfam family "tRNA". From Rfam's summary of the family: Transfer RNA (tRNA) molecules are approximately 80 nucleotides in length. Their secondary structure includes four short double-helical elements and three loops (D, anti-codon, and T loops). Further hydrogen bonds mediate the characteristic L-shaped molecular structure. tRNAs have two regions of fundamental functional importance: the anti-codon, which is responsible for specific mRNA codon recognition, and the 3' end, to which the tRNAs corresponding amino acid is attached (by aminoacyl-tRNA synthetases). tRNAs cope with the degeneracy of the genetic code in two manners: having more than one tRNA (with a specific anti-codon) for a particular amino acid; and 'wobble' base-pairing, i.e. permitting non-standard base-pairing at the 3rd anti-codon position. The record is from RNAcentral. Lineage: Bacteria; Candidatus Schekmaniibacteriota.